RNAcentral lists this ribosomal RNA (203 nucleotides) under Clostridioides difficile. RNAcentral describes it as "partial 16S ribosomal RNA". It matches the Rfam family "Bacterial small subunit ribosomal RNA", at positions 1066 to 1270 of the family's 1533-position model. The record is from RNAcentral. Lineage: Bacteria; Bacillati; Bacillota; Clostridia; Peptostreptococcales; Peptostreptococcaceae.
CGUGAGAUGUUGGGUUAAGUCCCGCAACGAGCGCAACCCUUGUCUUUAGUUGCCAUCAUUAAGUUGGGCCCUCUAGAGAGACUGCCAGGGAUAACCUGGAGGAAGGUGGGGAUGACGUCAAAUCAUCAUGCCCCUUAUGCUUAGGGCUACACACGUGCUACAAUGGGUAGUACAGAGGGUUGCCAAGCCGUAAGGUGGAGCUA